This 500-nucleotide ribosomal RNA is filed under the name uncultured bacterium. Its description in RNAcentral is "partial 16S ribosomal RNA". It matches the Rfam family "Bacterial small subunit ribosomal RNA", at positions 30 to 523 of the family's 1533-position model. The record is from RNAcentral.
AUUGAACGCUGGCGGCAUGCCUUACACAUGCAAGUCGAACGGCAGCGGGGACUUCGGUCCGCCGGCGAGUGGCGAACGGGUGAGUAAUGUAUCGGAACGUACCAUUGAGUGGGGGAUAACGUAGCGAAAGUUACGCUAAUACCGCAUAUUCUCUCCGGAGGAAAGCAGGGGACCGCAAGGCCUUGCGCUCUUUGAGCGGCCGAUGUCAGAUUAGCUAGUUGGUGAGGUAAAGGCUAACCAAGGCGACGCUCUGUAGCGGGUCUGGGAGGAUGAUCCGCCACACUGGAACUGAGACACGGUCCAGACUCCUACGGGAGGCAGCAGUGGGGAAUUUUGGACAAUGGGGGCAACCCUGAUCCAGCCAUGCCGCGUGAGUGAAGAAGGCCUUCGGGUUGUAAAGCUCUUUCGGCCGGGAAAAAAUCGCAUGGGCUAAUACCCUGUGUGGAUGAUGGUACCGGAAUAAGAAGCACCGGCUAACUACGUGCCAGCCGCCGCGGUAA